AGUUGGCAUUGAACAUAGUUAUAGACCGCAUGUCGCGAAAUCCGCAUAAUAAUGUCUUAAAAAUGACUGUACCUUCCUAUGUUCUUGCAAGGAUGGAAAGGGAGAGUGCAAAUACUUGAUCGCAGUUUUGUAUCACUUGUUAAACAAAAACAACAUCGGAUAUGUACUAGGUAACCUGCAUUAUGAAACUCUGCUAUUGUAAAAAUUAGUUGGGCGAUUCUUCAACAAUCAAUACAAACUGAACUGAACGAUUCCGUGUUUCAAGAACAAUCUACGGAUUGAAAACAAGGUAACAAUUACCAUCAUGUGGAUGUGACAACGGAUGAGAGCGAAAAUACACGAGUUUACCACAGUAUUUCCUGAGAGCUCCAUCGGAUAUGAAGUAUUUGGAAAAUUCUCGGUUUCAUCUACUGUCGAAAAACAAAUCAGCGAAGGGGUGCAACCUGUAGAUGAAUUUUUGAUGCUGGAAAUUUGUGAUCAACAACUUUCAUCUUCCUCGUUGAGCUCCU
This is a long non-coding RNA of Aedes aegypti (yellow fever mosquito), 509 nucleotides long. RefSeq lists it as uncharacterized. Lineage: Eukaryota; Metazoa; Arthropoda; Insecta; Diptera; Culicidae. The record is from RefSeq and is a predicted model, not a curated record. The transcript has 3 exons.